CAUCACGCCGCUCCAAAAUAGCGGCCGGGGGAGGGCGCCGGGCCGUGUUUACGAGGGAGCGCGGGGAAAGUUUCCGCUGCCUGACCCCCGCCGCGGGAAGCGGGCGGAGGCGGUGGCGCGGCCUUCCCCGAAGCCGCCCGGCGGCGGCGGCACAGGUGCGCGCGGGGGCGGGGGGUGCCGGUCCCGGUGCCGCCAGAGGCGCGCAGCCAGCCCCCGGCGCCUGUUGGCCGCCCCGGCUCCGCUCGCCGGAGCUUUAUUGCCGGCUGCUGGUCUCCGUGGCGGGCCGAAGGCGCUUCUCUCUUCCUGCCGCCUAGUCUUCGCCCCUUCCCGGGGAGGGUUUCCCCUCCCGUCCACCGAGUGCCCGCGGAAUCCACCCCCCCCACGCGGGGCAUCGGGCCAGCCGGCUACCUGCGCACCCGGCGUGGGAGCUCAGCAGGCGGCUUCGGUGCCCUUCCGGGGGACCUUCCUUCUCAGUUUGGGGUGACUUCGGGCUAACUGCCCCCAGGCCAGGCCACCCUCAGAGGGUGCAGCAGCCUUAGGGUGAAAUUGCUGUUUGGGUACCCUCUGGCUCUUGUGUUUGGGCAGGUACCGUGUUGCUCCAUGGUAUCGCCUCCCGCUGAUUCUCCCUAAAUUCGGCCCUGCUGCUUGCAUUUUUACUGACUGUACCUGCCCGUGGGGAAGGCCCGUUGGGCCUGCGUGUGUAAGGGACGGCUGUCAGCGCGGGGACUGUGAGCGUACCGCCGGCCUGCUGGCUCCCGGGAAUGUAUCGCGCUCUGUUUCUCUAACAGAUGAGGGAGUGUUCAGUAGCGUCAAGACUCUCAAAAAAGAAAGGGUAUUCUGCAGCUGGAGCUAAAUUCUGCGUUGUUCAUCCAGUAACUAUUCAUUAACGGUUACUUUCCUAUGUACAAAUACUCAUGAAGCACCUUCAAUUUUGUAAUUUCUUUCUGCGUCAAUACAAACACUUACGGUGCUUCAGGGUAAGCAUGGAAAAUAAUUACCCAGCAUGGAAAAUAAUUAACCUACCAGUGAGAAGUACACUAAUUUCAGCUGACUGACAGGGUGUCAAGGUACUCUAGAAAAGAGGAGAAUGGAAAACCAAAAAGGACUAAGUUUUGACACUGAAGAAAUGGGGUGAAAAGUCUUUUCUGUUGAAUACUGGGAGAAGAGAUGAAACAUUUCCAGCGUUAAACCUUCAGAAACCUACAGCUGCUUGAUCUCUUCGGGAGGAGAUUGUUAAAUAGCAGUCAAUUACCAUUUUAAUAAAUCUGUGACAAAAGACA
Long non-coding RNA from Harpia harpyja (harpy eagle), 1280 nucleotides. RefSeq lists it as uncharacterized. The record is from RefSeq and is a predicted model, not a curated record. The transcript has 2 exons. NCBI's taxonomy places the organism in Eukaryota, Metazoa, Chordata, Aves, Accipitriformes, Accipitridae.